GCGGUGGAUGAUGUGGUUUAAUUCGAUGCAACGCGAAAACCUUACCCACCUUUGACAUGUACGGAAUCCUUUAGAGAUAGAGGAGUGCUCGAAAGAGAGCCGUAACACAGGUGCUGCAUGGCUGUCGUCAGCUCGUGUCGUGAGAUGUUGGGUUAAGUCCCGCAACGAGCGCAACCCUUGUCAUUAGUUGCUACAUUCAGUUUGGGGCACUCUAAUGAGACUGCCGGUGACAAACCGGAGGAAGUGGGGAUGACGUCAAGUCCUCAUGGCCCUUAUAGGUGGGGCUACACACGUCAUACAAUGGAUGGUACAAAGGGUCGCCAACCCGCGAGGGGGAGCCAAUCCCAUAAAGCCAUUCGUAGUCCGGAUUGGAGUCUGCAACUCGACUCCAUGAAGUUGGAAUCGCUAGUAAUCGCGGAUCAGCACGCCGCGGUGAAUACGUUCCCGGGCCUU
This 453-nucleotide ribosomal RNA is filed under the name uncultured Acidovorax sp. RNAcentral describes it as "bacterial SSU rRNA". It matches the Rfam family "Bacterial small subunit ribosomal RNA", at positions 929 to 1382 of the family's 1533-position model. The record is from RNAcentral. Lineage: Bacteria; Pseudomonadati; Pseudomonadota; Betaproteobacteria; Burkholderiales; Comamonadaceae.